This 468-nucleotide ribosomal RNA is filed under the name uncultured bacterium. Its description in RNAcentral is "partial 16S ribosomal RNA". It matches the Rfam family "Bacterial small subunit ribosomal RNA", at positions 28 to 507 of the family's 1533-position model. The record is from RNAcentral.
GACGAACGCUGGCGGCGUGCUUAACACAUGCAAGUCGAACGGAAAGGCCCUGCUUUUGUGGGGUGCUCGAGUGGCGAACGGGUGAGUAACACGUGAGUAACCUGCCCUUGACUUUGGGAUAACUUCAGGAAACUGGGGCUAAUACCGGAUAGGAGCUCCUGCUGCAUGGCGGGGGUUGGAAAGUUUCGGCGGUUGGGGAUGGACUCGCGGCUUAUCAGCUUGUUGGUGGGGUAGUGGCUGACCAAGGCUUUGACGGGUAGCCUGGCUGAGAGGGUGACCGGCCACAUUGGAACUAAGAUACUGCCCAAACGCCUACGGAAGGCAGAAGUGGGGAAGAUUACACGAUGGACGGAAGCCUAAUGCAGCAACGCCGCGUGCGGUAUGACGGCCUUCGGGUUGUAAACCGCUUUCGCCUAUGACGAAGCGUUGGUGACGGUAAUGGGUAAAGAAGCACCGGCUAGGUACGUG